GAUGAACGCUGGCGGCGUGCCUAAUACAUGCAAGUCGAGCGAACAGACGAGGAGCUUGCUCCUCUGACGUUAGCGGCGGACGGGUGAGUAACACGUGGAUAACCUACCUAUAAGACUGGGAUAACUUCGGGAAACCGGAGCUAAUACCGGAUAAUAUAUUGAACCGCAUGGUUCAAUAGUGAAAGACGGUUUUGCUGUCACUUAUAGAUGGAUCCGCGCCGCAUUAGCUAGUUGGUAAGGUAACGGCUUACCAAGGCAACGAUGCGUAGCCGACCUGAGAGGGUGAUCGGCCACACUGGCACUGAGACACGGUCCAGACUCCUACGGGAGGCAGCAGUAGGGAAUCUUCCGCAAUGGGCGAAAGCCUGACGGAGCAACGCCGCGUGAGUGAUGAAGGUCUUCGGAUCGUAAAACUCUGUUAUUAGGGAAGAACAAAUGUGUAAGUAACUAUGCACGUCUUGACGGUACCUAAUCAGAAAGCCACGGCUAACUACGUG
This 497-nucleotide ribosomal RNA is filed under the name uncultured bacterium. RNAcentral's name for it is "partial 16S ribosomal RNA". It matches the Rfam family "Bacterial small subunit ribosomal RNA", at positions 28 to 507 of the family's 1533-position model. The record is from RNAcentral.